UACGUAGGGUGCGAGCGUUAAUCGGAAUUACUGGGCGUAAAGCGUGCGCAGGCGGUCUGUUAAGACCGAUGUGAAAUCCCCGGACUUAACCUGGGAACUGCAUUAGUGACUGACAAACUUUGAGUGUGGCAGAGGGAGGUAGAAUUCCACGUGUAGCAGUGAAAUGCGUAGAGAUGUGGAGGAAUACCGAUGGCGAAGGCAGCCUCCUGGGCCAACACUGACGCUCAUGCACGAAAGCGUGGGGAGCAAACAGG
RNAcentral lists this ribosomal RNA (254 nucleotides) under uncultured bacterium. Its description in RNAcentral is "partial 16S ribosomal RNA". It matches the Rfam family "Bacterial small subunit ribosomal RNA", at positions 524 to 776 of the family's 1533-position model. The record is from RNAcentral.